This is a long non-coding RNA of Passer domesticus (house sparrow), 3330 nucleotides long. RefSeq lists it as uncharacterized. Lineage: Eukaryota; Metazoa; Chordata; Aves; Passeriformes; Passeridae. The record is from RefSeq and is a predicted model, not a curated record. The transcript is spliced from 3 exons.
GCCACCUCAAGCCUUUUUUCACACCACUCCUCACGCAGAGCCGGGGGGACAAGGUGCCCAUUGUUACUCUCUUUCAAAUUUCUCCUUUGCAGGAGUGCUCACAAAACCUGUGGCAACAGUUAGGAUGAUGGUGUCCUGGAAAAACGAUGCUCACCACACACAGUUAAUGCGUCACCUCAGGUGUUGUGUCCUUGGUGUUUAGGGCCCCUCCAUUUGUCUGGGUCCUGCUGUUUUCUCAGACUUUAGAGGCAGGAAAUGACAAUAGAGACAGUAUCAGAAUAAAAAAAAUGAGAAGAGACUUGCAGGACAUCCACUAUUAAACUACUAUUGCAUCCUGAACUGUUGUUUGAAAAGGAAGUUUGAAAGGCAGCAUUAGAAGAAAUACUUUUGGACAGCACUCAAACUUGCAAAGUACAAUUAGAACAAGUAGACAAAGGAGCCAAGAGGAGGUAAAAUUCUGUCUUUCAUCUGGUUAAGUUGGGAAAAAGCUAUAUGGAUACUUACCUGGAUAGACUCAAUGAUCCUUGUGGGUCCCUUCCAGCUCAGAAUAUUGUGUGAUUCUGUGAUGUCUUCAGCACAGGUAAAUUCUGCCCUGCAGUGGAGGGCAUGUCCCAGGCUUAUACAGUGCCCAUUUCCCACCUAGGGCACUGUGCACGGGGCUAAUUACAUCCUGAAUAUAUAACACCAUUUUGCCAGUGUCAGAGGAGAUGGAAUUUCUGGGAAAUCCUUUAAACUACUAACUCUCAAUCUGCUGUUCCCAAUUAUCUCUCAGCAAGAGAGCCAAGAGGAGCCAAGACAAUCAAGCAAACACAACCUACAGCAGUGGUAAGAAACACAGCGCUGUGAAUUCAGCCAGGUCCCAGCAAAAUGCCCUGCUCCAUGCUGGAUGGGUCUGUGGGCAUCCAGUGAUCAGCACCUUUUCUCCCCCUUACUGCUUAAACAAUGAAAUAGAACUCAAAGACUCAAAAGAAAAGGCACCAAGAAUGCCAUGAAUCAAGCAGGUAAAAACCAAGGCACUGUGGACAAGCAAGCUGUAGUGAAGUCCCAGGAGCACAGUCCAGCUCCCACAGAGGCUGAAAUGGGCCCAGGUGUUAUUUUGUUAAAUUACCUGCAUGUAGUUCUCUUCACAGGAGCACAUCAAUUGGACCUAUUUCAGGAAUGCCUCCUCAAGUACUGUCCUUUCACUGUGCUGCUGCCUGUGUCUGAGGACCAAUUUAGUCCUAAGGAUUUCCAGGAAGUGGCCCUUGCCUCUAAUUUUCCUUAGAGUAUUCUGAAGAAUGGUCAUCCAUCUUGCCAUAAGGAAUCUCGCUGUUCUUGCUCUUUCCACCUACUGCUCCCUAAUUUUAAAUGUCACUCCAUUAACUUUUGCAGUAUAUACAGAACACCAGGGUGUGGUGGCUUCACAGCUAAUUAACCAUGAAACAUCCCUGGUGUGGGUUUUCAGGGGGACACACAGGCAUUUGGUUCCUAAGAGCCCCUCAAGGAGGAGUGUGCUGGGCAGUCUGGGUCAGGAAAAAGGCCCAGCUGUACCUGGCUGUGAAUCCUUUGCUCUGCUCCCAGUUUACACCCCCUGGUAGUCACAGACAGUUCUAUCAUGUUCUCCCACGCUUCCCAGUUGUCACAUAACAGAGUGAUGCAUAUUUAGUUCAUUAAUUUUGUUCCAUAAAUCAGCCCCUCCAGCUCUUUAAUCAUUUACUGACUGCUUAACAAAUGCAUUCAGAUGGAGAGACACUAAUGCUAGCAACAGCAAGACUUUUUAAGAGAAAUAAAAGCUUUGUGUAGACAAGACACAAACCUGCCAAUCUUGUACCCUUCAAUUGGAUGGGUUUUUUUUCCAGCAGAAAAUCUAUGCUAAAAUAUUUAUCAGCCUGCUAAAAGAUCAUCAUUGAAUUUUUCUUGCAAUUAGGGAAACACAAACAGUUAAAAUAGAAUAAAAUAUGGGCUUCAUCUGAAAUGUAUUCUUCUUACUGUCAAAAAGGUAACAACAGGAUAAUUAUUUUAUUUGAACUAAAAAUUGAAAAUGAAGGUCUAGCUUUUCAUAAAAUGGAAAAAAGAUUUUAAAAUUCAAAUGGGAAGCGAAAUAAACAUAAUUUCACGUCUGAAAAAAUUGUUAUAUGAAAAUUCAUCUAUAUGGACAUUAAAAUGCACGUCAUAAUUUCAAAGAAGCAACAAAAUGUGACCUAGAUUUUAUGUUUAAUAUUUCCUAUUUGUAAUUUGUCAGGGAAAAGUAAAAGGCUUUAGAGGGCAUAAAAGCAUGGUCAAGAAGAACCAGAGGAGAGGGUUUUUUAAAUUCUGUACAAGGAAGUAUUGAUGACUUUAAUAUAGAGAAUAAAUACUCAACUAGAAAGGACUUCAGUACUCCUUCAAACCAUCUGCUCUCUGUUACAGACAAUCCAUGCUCUUUAAUAUCUUUGGAAAAAUUUAUUGAGCCCCAUUUAAAAUGAUGGCAGCUUAUCUACCAUUCCUCCUCCCUCCAUGUUCUCUCAGCCCACUGACCAAGGACAUCCUUCCAAAGUGUGUUCUAAUCCUCUGAUUUACAAUCUAAAUUUAUUUAAGUUAUUUACAACCUACUGUAAUUUUUGUUCAGUUGAUUUUGGCUCAGCACUGUCCUUCAGCUUAAACGUCUCUGUGACUAUUUAUCUUCUUAAGUACAUUUAAAGAGCAACAACACAGGCCUGUGUUUUGCUAAGCAAAACGUGGGGGUUCUGAAUUCUCUUCCUGUAACAGAGUUCUUCUUUCUCCUGACCACCCCAGCAGUGCUUUCUCUGUACCUGUUCCAGCUUUGAACUUAGGAAAUAGCAAUCUUACAAGGCUCACCUCAAAUACAGUAGUAUGGAAAGAAGAAUUCUCUUCUUGCUUCUCCUGCACAACAUCCUAGACCAUAAUCUGAUAGUGACUAAUGUAAUUUGGCUUGCUAACAGAUUUCUUUUUUUUUAGGGUCUGCCAAGAGACAUAGUGUAACAAAAUGCAGGUUCCUAUCUGGCAAUGUUUACUCAUCUGGGGCAUUCCAAUUAUUUCAUUAUUGGUGGUCACAGCACAGUCACAGACAGACCAUAUCUUUGGGAUAGACACCAGAGGAAAGAUUCAAUUUUUUAAAACAUAAUGGAGAAAAAUAAUGGAUGCUGCAGAGAUAACAGUGUAAAACAACUGAAUUUACCCUUGUAACAGAAAACUAAUGCUCAGAGGUGAAGAUACAAGAAUUGUAGUCUUAAUUAAGAAGCAAAGACACUUCUUUGCAUGGGUCCUGAAGGAUUGGUCAGCAAAGACCCUGCUUCAAUACCAUUUAGGAUAUGUAAUUUAAGAUAUACAAUCUUUGGUUGCGAGGCGAUA